Non-coding RNA from Mycena leptocephala, 94 nucleotides. NCBI's taxonomy places the organism in Eukaryota, Fungi, Basidiomycota, Agaricomycetes, Agaricales, Mycenaceae. The record is from the annotation of a GenBank genome assembly.
GACCUGGUGGUGAAAUGAAUCACACUGAUUCCACUUCUGGUUCGAAAUUCCUGAGGUUUUAUGGGAGUCCCUGGUUCGAACCCGGGUCAGGUCA